Molecule: ribosomal RNA, 255 nt
Filed under: uncultured bacterium
Lineage: Bacteria
Description: partial 16S ribosomal RNA
Rfam family: Bacterial small subunit ribosomal RNA
Source: RNAcentral
CGGACGGGUGAGUAACGCGUGGGGAACCUGCCUUGCACCGGGGGAUAACACUUAGAAAUAGGUGCUAAUACCGCAUAAGCGCACAGAGCCGCAUGGCUCGGUGUGAAAAACUCCGGUGGUGCAAGAUGGACCCGCGUCUGAUUAGCUGGUUGGCGGGGUAAUGGCCCACCAAGGCGACGAUCAGUAGCCGGCCUGAGAGGGUGAACGGCCACAUUGGGACUGAGACACGGCCCAAACUCCUACGGGAGGCAGCAG